CAUCGCCUCUUGAUUAGAUAUAAGAGGUCCAGCCUGCCCGGUGACAUAGUUUAACGGCCGCGGUACCCUAACCGUGCAAAGGUAGCAUAAUCACUUGUUCCCUAAAUAGGGACUCGUAUCAACGGCAUCACGAGAACUGUACUGUCUCCUUUCUCCAAUCAGUGAAACUGAUCUCCCCGUGAAGAAGCGAGGAUAGACCUAUAAGACGAGAAGACCCCAUGGAGCUUUAAACCCAUCACGCACCCCCCCACGCACUCGUAAUCAAUAAAGCCUAAAGGGCUUGUGUGUUGGUUUUAGGCUGGGGUGACCACGGAGUAAAAUUAAACCUCCACGACAGACGGAUUAAUACCCUUAUCCACGAACCACAAUUCUAAGAGCCAAUAAAUUGUUGUCUAAUGAUCCAAUUACUUGAUCAACGAACCAAGUUACCCUGGGGAUAACAGCGCAAUCUACUUCAAGAGCCCCUAUCGACAAGUAGGUUUACGACCUCGAUGUUGGAUCAGGGUAUCCUAGUGGCGCAACCGCUACUAAAGG
RNAcentral lists this ribosomal RNA (534 nucleotides) under Amolops adicola. RNAcentral describes it as "partial large subunit ribosomal RNA". It matches the Rfam family "Bacterial large subunit ribosomal RNA", at positions 1829 to 2571 of the family's 2925-position model. Lineage: Eukaryota; Metazoa; Chordata; Amphibia; Anura; Ranidae. The record is from RNAcentral.